GUAGCUGAAGGUACUAUACGAAUAAGCACCGGCUAACUCCGUGCCAGCAGCCGCGGUAAUACGGAGGGUGCAAGCGUUAUCCGGAUUUAUUGGGUUUAAAGGGUCCGUAGGCGGAUCUGUAAGUCAGUGGUGAAAUCUCACAGCUUAACUGUGAAACUGCCAUUGAUACUGCAGGUCUUGAGUGUUAUUGAAGUAGCUGGAAUAAGUAGUGUAGCGGUGAAAUGCAUAGAUAUUACUUAGAACACCAAUUGCGAAGGCAGGUUACUAAGCAACAACUGACGCUGAUGGACGAAAGCGUGGGGAGCGAACAGGAUUAGAUACCCUGGUAGUCCACGCCGUAAACGAUGCUAACUCGUUUUUGGGCUUUCGGGUUCAGAGACUAAGCGAAAGUGAUAAGUUAGCCACCUGGGGAGUACGUUCGCAAGAAUGAAACUCAAAGGAAUUGACGGGGGCCCGCACAAGCGGUGGAUUAUGUGGUUUAAUUCGAUGAUACGCGAGGAACCUUACCAAGGCUUAAAUGGGAAAUGACAGGUUUAGAAAUAGACUUUUCUUCGGACAUUUUUCAAGGUGCUGCAUGGUUGUCGUCAGCUCGUGCCGUGAGGUGUUAGGUUAAGUCCUGCAACGAGCGCAACCCCUGUCACUAGUUGCCAUCAUUAAGUUGGGGACUCUAGUGAGACUGCCUACGCAAGUAGAGAGGAAGGUGGGGAUGACGUCAAAUCAUCACGGCCCUUACGCCUUGGGCCACACACGUAAUACAAUGGCCGGUACAGAGGGCAGCUACACAGCGAUGUGAUGCAAAUCUCGAAAGCCGGUCUCAGUUCGGAUUGGAGUCUGCAACUCGACUCUAUGAAGCUGGAAUCGCUAGUAAUCGCGCAUCAGCCAUGGCGCGGUGAAUACGUUCCCGGGCCUUGUACACACCGCCCGUCAAGCCAUGGAAGUCUGGGGUACCUGAAGUCGGUGACCGUAACAGGAGCUGCCUAGGGUAAAACAGGUAACUAGGGCUAAGUCGUAACAAGGUAGCCGUACCGGAAGGUGCGGCUGGAACAUCUCAUUUU
RNAcentral lists this ribosomal RNA (1055 nucleotides) under Chryseobacterium rhizoplanae. Its description in RNAcentral is "bacterial SSU rRNA". It matches the Rfam family "Bacterial small subunit ribosomal RNA", at positions 465 to 1533 of the family's 1533-position model. Lineage: Bacteria; Pseudomonadati; Bacteroidota; Flavobacteriia; Flavobacteriales; Weeksellaceae. The record is from RNAcentral.